UCGGUUGCACACUGUCUCAAAAUAAUCGAUUGUUAAAAGUAGACAAUCGAUUGUUUGCUAUUUUGAAAAACUUCAGAUCACACUGUCUUAAUACAAUAGAUUGUAGGAUUCAAAUAAUCGAUUGUUGAGGUCCAGAUUUAAAAGACAUUUUAAAACCUUCAACAUCAUUUUGUUUUAACAAAAAGAUGCAUGUUUAUGAUAA
This 202-nucleotide long non-coding RNA is filed under the name Nicotiana benthamiana. RNAcentral describes it as "long non-coding RNA (NBEN_LNC025340)". Lineage: Eukaryota; Viridiplantae; Streptophyta; Magnoliopsida; Solanales; Solanaceae. The record is from RNAcentral.